Molecule: unclassified non-coding RNA, 328 nt
Filed under: soil metagenome
Description: partial contains 5.8S ribosomal RNA, internal transcribed spacer 2, and large subunit ribosomal RNA
Rfam family: 5.8S ribosomal RNA (bases 1-120)
Source: RNAcentral
GAUGAAGAACGCAGCGAAAUGCGAUAAGUAAUGCGAAUUGCAGAAUUCCGUGAGUCAUCGAAUCUUUGAACGCACAUUGCGCCCCUUGGUAUUCCGAGGGGCAUGCCUGUUCGAGCGUCAUUAUAACCCCUCAAGCUCAGCUUGGUGUUGGGGCCUGCUGCACUGGCAGCCCUUAAAAUCAGUGGCGGCGCCAUCUGGCUCUAAGCGUAGUAAUUCUUCUCGCUAUGGAGUCCUGGUGGAUGCUUGCCAUCAACCCCCAAUUUUUCUAUGGUUGACCUCGGAUCAGGUAGGGAUACCCGCUGAACUUAAGCAUAUCAAUAACGGAGGA